Molecule: ribosomal RNA, 497 nt
Filed under: uncultured bacterium
Lineage: Bacteria
Description: partial 16S ribosomal RNA
Rfam family: Bacterial small subunit ribosomal RNA
Source: RNAcentral
GACGAACGCUGGCGGCGUGCCUAAUACAUGCAAGUAGAACGCUGAAGCGAGGAGCUUGCUCUUCUUGGAUGAGUUGCGAACGGGUGAGUAACGCGUAGGUAACCUGCCUGGUAGCGGGGGAUAACUAUUGGAAACGAUAGCUAAUACCGCAUAAAAUGGAUUAUCGCAUGAUAAUCCAUUGAAAGGUGCAAAUGCAUCACUACCAGAUGGACCUGCGUUGUAUUAGCUAGUUGGUGGGGUAACGGCUCACCAAGGCGACGAUACAUAGCCGACCUGAGGGGGUGAUCGGCCACACUGGGACUGAGACACGGCCCAGACUCCUACGGGAGGCAGCAGUAGGGAAUCUUCGGCAAUGGACGGAAGUCUGACCGAGCAACGCCGCGUGAGUGAAGAAGGUUUUCGGAUCGUAAAGCUCUGUUGUAAGAGAAGAACGAGUGUGAGAGUGGAAAGUUCACACUGUGACGGUAGCUUACCAGAAAGAGACGGCUAACUACGUG